Molecule: RNA transcript, 1849 nt
Organism: Oryza brachyantha (malo sina)
Lineage: Eukaryota; Viridiplantae; Streptophyta; Magnoliopsida; Poales; Poaceae
Gene name: G-type lectin S-receptor-like serine/threonine-protein kinase At2g19130
Exons: 1
Source: RefSeq, a predicted model, not a curated record
UGCAGACGACCAAAGUAGCCAUGCCUUCCCUCUGCAUAUUCCUUGGGCUGCUUCUCUUCUCCUUGCAGUCUCCUCCAUGUUCUGCUGCAACAGAUACUCUUAAGGCAGGCCAAGUGCUCGCCGCCGGCGACAAGCUCGUCUCAAGAAAUGGCAAGUUCGCACUCGGCUUCUUCAAGCCAAGCGCAAACAUCAGCAAGUCAUCCGACAACAUCUCCUCGAGCUGGUACGUUGGCAUAUGGUUCGACAAGAUCCCAGUUUUUACUGUUGUGUGGGUUGCUAAUAGGGAGACCCCAGUCACUGAACCCCAGCUCAAAGUAACACAGCUCAAAAUAUCACAAGAUGGAAAUCUUGCCAUCGUAGACCAUGCCACUGAAUCCAUAAUAUGGUCCACUCAUAUUGUGAUCAAUAGGACAGAGACCAGCAUGAACACCAGUACUGCUGUUCUCCAUGAUAGCGGAAAUCUUGUCAUAGAAAGCCCCUCUAAUGUACCACUGUGGCAAAGCUUUGAUGACCCAACAGAUGUAGCGCUUCCAAACGCCAAGAUUGGGUGGAACAAGGUGACAGGUCUAAAUCGUGUUGGCGUUUCAAAGAAGAGCAUGAUUGAUAUGAGUAACAAAUUCAAGUGGUGCGCUGCGCCAUUACACGACGCUGAAGACAGCAGUGGAAUCAAGGCCUUUAGAUACACUGAUCUAGUUCAUGCCACUAAAAAUUUCUCAGAAAAGCUAGGGGCAGGUGGUUUUGGCUCUGUUUUCAAGGGAACCUUAAGUGAUCUAACUGCAAUCGCGGUCAAAAGACUUGAUGGUGACCGUCAAGGAGAGAAGCAAUUCCGUGCCGAGGUGAGCUCAAUCGGGUUGAUCCAACAUAUCAACCUAGUGAAAUUGAUUGGUUUCUGCUGCCAAGGUGAUAAGAGGCUACUUGUGUAUGAACACAUGCUAAAUGGUUCUCUUGAUGCCCAUCUCUUUCAUAGCAAUGCUAGUGUACUCAAGUGGAGCACUAGAUAUCAAAUUGCCAUAGGAGUUGCUCGAGGAUUGGCAUAAUUGCAUCAGAAUUGCCUCGAGUGCAUCAUACACUGCGACAUUAAGCCACAAAAUAUACUUCUCGAUGCAUCAUUUGCUCCAAAAAUUGCAGACUUUGGGAUGGCAGCAUUUGUCGGAAGGGAUUUUAGCCGAAUUACUACAUUUAGAGGAACCGUAGGGUAUCUUGCCCCAGAGUGGAUUAGUGGAGUUGCUAUUACACCAAAAGUUGAUGUGUAUAGCUUUGGUAUGGUAUUACUGGAAAUUAUAUCAGGGCGGAGGAAUAUGCCUGAAGAAUCUGCAAGUGGUAAUUAUCAUGUUUCAUUUUUCCCUAUGCAAGCCAUCAACAAGCUACAUGAGGGAGAUGUGCAGAGUUUGGUGGAUCCAAGGUUACAUGAUGACUUCAGUUUGGAAGAGGCCGAAAGGAUUUUGAAGGUUGCAUGCUGGUGCAUCCAAGAUGAUGACCUUGAUCGACCAACAAUGGUUGAAGUGGUUCGGGUUCUUGAGGGUCUACAGGAGCUUGAAAUUCCCCCAAUGCCAAGACUACUAGCAGCUUUAACAGGAUGACGCUCUGAUGUAGCUAAAAUAUUAUAAAGAAUAAAUGAUUUGCAUCGAUCCAUUAUAUUUUGGAAAAUUCUAAAAUACUACUGUGUAGUGGAAGAAAAUAAUAGAGGAAGUUGUGUCAUAUUGAUACAAAUUAGGUGUAAGAUUGAUUUGUUUUGUAGCUAAACAGCAUGACAUAUCAUAUGUUAUAUGUAAUUUGCAGUUGACAUAUCAUAUGUUAUAUGUAAUUUGCAGUUUUGAUAUUGAAUCGUCAAACGGAUAGAAAUUGUUGA